Molecule: non-coding RNA, 95 nt
Organism: Acanthosepion pharaonis
Lineage: Eukaryota; Metazoa; Mollusca; Cephalopoda; Sepiida; Sepiidae
Source: the annotation of a GenBank genome assembly
GUGUUGAAACACAGGUUCCCAUAGCAUCACUGAAGUUAAGCAAAGUCAAGCCUAGUCAGUACCUAGAUGGGUAACUGUUUGGGAAUACCAGGUGC